GUCUGGAGACUCGGUGUCUGCAGGAGUGGAAAAUGCAUAUGCCUUAAGGCCGAUGACCCAUCCCUUGAAACAACAACAAAAGAAACAACUACAAUUACACAGAGCUCCACCGGUACAGCUUCUAGCACUUCAACGGAAACCACUCCUGUAUCAACAAAUCCGCCAACCGCUUCAACUACACAGAGUUCCACCGGUACAACUUCAAGUACUUCAACGGAAACCACACCUGUAUCAACAAAUCCGCCAAC
Long non-coding RNA from Ixodes scapularis (black-legged tick), 248 nucleotides. RefSeq lists it as uncharacterized. The record is from RefSeq and is a predicted model, not a curated record. NCBI's taxonomy places the organism in Eukaryota, Metazoa, Arthropoda, Arachnida, Ixodida, Ixodidae. The transcript is spliced from 3 exons.